GUGCAGAUGAUGUAAACACAUUAAUGUCUGAAUAGUGAUGCGUUCAAAGGAACCACUGAUGCUG
The sequence is a small nucleolar RNA, 64 nucleotides long. Its record names the gene SNORD42. It matches the Rfam family "Small nucleolar RNA SNORD42". Rfam says of the family: snoRNA U42 is found in intron 3 of the ribosomal protein L23a (RPL23a) gene in humans and is also present in mice. U42 is a member of the C/D class of snoRNA which contain C (UGAUGA) and D (CUGA) box motifs. Most of the members of the box C/D family function in directing site-specific 2'-O-methylation of substrate RNAs. The record is from Ensembl.